GGGCACAUGGUGUAGGGGUUAUCACAUUCGAUUUGCAUACGGCCUUGCGAAAGGUCUUCGGUUCAAUUCCGGAUGUGUCCA
Molecule: non-coding RNA, 81 nt
Organism: Marasmius tenuissimus
Lineage: Eukaryota; Fungi; Basidiomycota; Agaricomycetes; Agaricales; Marasmiaceae
Source: the annotation of a GenBank genome assembly